GCCCCCGCUGCCGGCUGCGCUGCUCUGCGCCCAAACGGACGUCGUGCCCGGAACCGUGGGCUCAGAGCAGGCACAGCUGGCGGGGAGGGGC
MicroRNA precursor from Gallus gallus (chicken), 91 nucleotides. NCBI's taxonomy places the organism in Eukaryota, Metazoa, Chordata, Aves, Galliformes, Phasianidae. The record is from Ensembl.